UAUUUUCCUGAGACAGCCAGUUUUGCAGAUUAGCCCCUCUAGAUCAUGCAUUUAAUAACUCAUGAACCGUGCAUCGGAUUAAAAUGAACUAUAUAUGAAACUUGCUCGGAAUUUUGUGUAGAUUAAUAAUAUCCAACUUUCACCUAUGUUUGAAAUGUCUAAAAUGAUGUUUGAUUAAAUUUGCCCCUAUGCCAUGCUAAAAUGAUUUAAUUCAUUACUAAAUAUCCGUAACUCCGAAUUUAAUAAUCUUUAUAUGUAAAUGGGGUAGAAUUUUGCCUAGUUUAACAUGGUGGCAUCAUCUUGCAUGUCUAAUAACUCUAAAAUUGUGUUUAGGACAGAUCAGGACCAAACCUAAAAUAUGCUAUGGGGAGUUUCCGGAAUUGUUGUUCGUUGCUUCCGGCCUCAUUUAACCUUGACUAGAUAGGUAGUUUUGCUUCGCUUCACCCUCUUGCCAUGUUUAACAACAUUUAAUAUUGUGGGUACAUAACCGAGAGAGAACUAAAUAAUUGAUGUGGUGUUUUGUCAAUAUGCAUCCCGAUGCAUAUUGAGCUCCACUUAAUUUGUAGGAUUGUUUGUGCUCUUUGCCAUGCCAUGCAUAUUUAAUCCGGACAUGCAUCAUACUCGUUUGUGCAUCAUGCCAUGUUGAUGUCAUGGUUGUUUACUAUGUUGUGUGCUUCCUUUCCGGUGAUUGCUUCUUCGGGUUGGUUCCGGUAACGUCGUGUUGUGAGGACCGUUCAUCUACGUCCGUUUGUCUUCUUCAUGGACUCGUUCUUCUUCCUUACGGGAUUUCAGGCAAGAUGAUCAUACCCUCGAAAUCAAUACUAUCUUUGCUAUGCUAGUUUGCUCGCUCUUUUGCUUUGCCAAUGCUAUGAUGCCUACCACUUGCUUGUCAGCCUCCCAAUUGCCAUGAUUGAGCCUCUAACCCACCUUUGUCCUAGCAAACCGUUGAUUGGCUAUGUUACCGCUUUGCUCAGCCCCUCUCUUAUAGCGUUGUUAGUCGCAGGUGAAGAUUGAAGUUUGUUCCUUGUUGGAACAUGGAGAUGUUGUUCCUUGUUGGGACAUUUAUUUACUUGUUGGGAUAUCACCAUAUAUCUUAUUUAAUUAAUGCAUCUAUAUACUUGGUAAAGGGUGGAAGGCUCGGCCUUAUGCCUGGUGUUUUGUUCCACUCUUGCCGCCCUAGUUUCCGUCAUAUCGGUGUUAUGUUCCCGGUUUUUGCGUCCCUUACGCGGUUGGGCUAUAAUGGGAACCCCUUGACAGUUCGCCUUAAGUAAAGCUUCUCCAGCAAUGCCCAACAUUGGUUUUACCUUUUUCCACCUAGCCUUUUCUUUCCCUUGGGUUCUGCAGACUCAAGGGUCAUUGUUAUUUUACCCCCCGGGCCAGUGCUCCUCUGAGUGUUGGUCCAAACUAGAGUCCUGUGCAGCGCCCCCUCGGGGAAACUCGAGGUUUGGUUUUAGUUGUAUGGAGCGCUCAUCUGAGUGUGCCCUGAGAAAGAGAUAUGUGCAGCUCCUAUCGGGAUUUGUCGGCACAUUCGGGCGGUGUUGCUGGUUUAGUUUUACCCUGUCGAAAUGUCUUGUUGUACUGGGAUACCGAGUCUGAUCGGAAUGUCUCGGGUGGAGGUCUAUUCCUUCGUUGACCGUGAGAGCUUGUUAUGGGCUAAGUUGGGACACCCCUGCAGGGAUUGAUCUUUCGAAAGCCGUGCCCACGGUUAUGGGCAGAUGGGAAUUUGUUAGCGUCCGGUUGUAGAUAACCUGAAGUUGACCUUAAUUAGAAUGAAUCAACCGCGUGUGUAACCGUGAUGGUCUCUUUCCGGCGGAGUCCGGGAAGUGAACACGGUUGUUGGAGUUAUGCUUGACGUAGGUAGUCCAGGAUCACUUCUUGAUCAUACUUUUAUCGACCGUGCUUUGCCUUCUCUUCUCGCUCUCAUUUGCGUAUGUUAGCCACCAUAUAUGCUAGUCGCUUGCUGCAGCUCCACCUCAUACCUUUACCUUACCCAUAAGCUUAAAUAGUCUUGAUCGCGAGGGUGCGAGAUUGCUGAGUCCCCGUGGCUCACAGAUACUUCCAAAACCAGCUUGCAGGUGCCGAUGAGUCCGUGCAGAUGACGCAACCCAGCUCAGGAGGAGCUUGAUGAAGAUCUUGUCCUUUGUGUUGUUUCGUGCUAGUUGAUCAGUAGUGGAGCCCAGUUGGGGUCGAUCGGGGACCUUUGUCGCAUUUGGGGUUCUUCUUUUAUUUUGGUUCCGUAGUCGGACCAUGAGUGUAUUUGAUUGAUGUAAUGCUAUUUAUGUACCUUGAUGUGACGUGGCGAGUGUAAGCCGACUAUUAUUAUUAUUUCCCCUUUAUAUUUAUAUGUACAUGGGUUGUGUGAAGAUUGCCUCACUUGCGACAUAUGCCUUCAAUGCGAUUAUGCCUCUAAGUCGUGCCUCGACACGUAGGAUAUAUAGUCGCAUCGAGGGUGUUGCAAGACCGCAUAACAACAUACGUUGUUCCCUUUGUCAUCGGUAUGUUACUUGCCCGAGAUUCGAUCGUCGGUAUCCAAUACCUAGUUCAAUCUCGUUACUGGCAAGUCUCUUUACUCGUUCCGUAAUACAUCAUCUCACAACUAACAUAUUAGUUGUAAUGCUUGCAAGGCUUAUGUGAUGUGUAUUACCGAGAGGGCCCAGAGAUACCUCUCCGACAAUCGGAGUGACAAAUCCUAAUCUCGAAAUACGCCAACCCAACAUCUACCUUUGGAGACACCUGUAAUGCUCCUUUAUAAUCACCCAGUUACGUUGUGACGUUUGGUAGCACCCAAAGUGUUCCUCCGGCAAACGGGAGUUGCAUAAUCUCAUAGUCAUAGGAACAUGUAUAAGUCAUGAAGAAAGCAAUAGCAACAUACUAAACGAUCGGGUGCUAAGCCAAUGGAAUGGGUCAUGUCAAUCAGAUCAUUCAACUAAUGAUGUGACCUCGUUAAUCAAAUAACAACUCUUUGUUCAUGGUUAGGAAACAUAACCAUCUUUGAUUAACGAGCUAGUCUAGUAGAGGCAUACUAGUGACACUCUGUUUGUCUAUGUAUUCACACAUGUAUUAUGUCUCCGGUUAAUACAAUUCUAGCAUGAAUAAUAAACAUUUAUCAUGGUAUAAGGAAAUAAAUAAUAACUUUAUUAUUGCCUCUAGGGCAUACUUCCUUCAGCGGUAGUGUGGUUGGUUCCUGAAAAAUGUCAGCAAAUUCUUCCAGAAGUGCUUGUAACUGAGGAGGCCUGGAGUCAUCAGAGGAUUCGGAUUUUUGUUCAUGUUGAAUGACUGCAAGUGCCCACACUUCAUUGCCCUGAAUCCAUUUAUACAGCUGAUCCGCAUGCAUCUCAGUAAGUGCAGGCUCUGUCGGAGUACGCACGCCUUGCAACUUGAUGUUCAUAUUGGCUUGUCUGAAUUCCAUGGUUUUGAGUCCCCAAUGACAGUUCAUAGGACUGAAUUGAGCGAGCCAAUCGAGUCCCAAAACUGCAUCAUAAGCGCCAAGCUCAAGCAACCGCGUAUCAGUGCUGAAAGUGUGGCCCUGACACCACCACUGUAAUUGAGACACUUGUUGCUUGGACUGCAGGGUUUCUCCGUUGGCUACCCUCACUAUGACAGGAUCGACGUCCUGAAUUUUACAGCCGGCACGCUCUGCAAACGCUGAAUUCACAAACGUGUGGGUACUGCCCGAAUCCACCAGCAACAACAUUACCUGAUUGCCAACUAAUGCUCUUAACCUCAUUGUACCCGACGACUCCGUUCCCGCGACGGCAUGCAUGGAAAUUUGACAACAAACUGCUUCUUCUUUUGUAUUUUCAUCCAGCAACUCCAGAGCACGUAUGGCAUCAUCCGAUAGAAGCUCACCAUGAUCGCCAACCUCAAUGGUCAGAAGCUGACCCACCUUGUUACACUUGUGUUCCCGGGAAUACUUAUCGCCGCACUUAAAACACAGGCCAUUGGCUCGCCUGAAUUCCCGCAGUUGUCGUUCGCGGCCAAAAUCAUCCGGGCCACGCUUAGCACCAUCAAUGCGGGGUUGUACUGGUCCAGGAGCCAUUGCAGGCACCGGGGGUGGAGGAAUGGCGUGAGUAUACACCGGUGGGCGACCCCGCGGCUUACUGUGUUCAGAUUCUUCCUCCUGAAUCCGAGCAAGUGCCGCUGCCCUGGAAACGCUCGUCGGUGCGUGCAGGCGCACUCCUGUGCGGACCUCAUCCUUGAGACCGAUGAUGAACUGUGAGACAAAGAAUUUCUGAUUUAAGGAUGGGUCCAGAGCAAUCAGAUGGUACAUAAUUGCCUCAAAGGAGAGUCUGUAUUCAGAAACAGUGGAGGUCUGCUUGAGAUGAUGUAGGCGAUGCAGCAAAGCAUCGAAUUCAUCCUGACCAAAUUCAGUCUUCACUGCCUCCAUGAAUGAGAACCAAUCCCCCAAACCAUGCACACGCUUGUACGCCUGACACCAGAGAGCGGCGUGGCCUUCCAUGUACAACACUGCCGUGGCAACCCACUGCUCUGGUGGCAUUUGAUACAGAUCGAAGUAAGUAUGGCAGAGGUCAAACCAGAGCCGUGUCGCGUCGCCACUGAACCGGGGGAAGUCAUGCUUCGGCGGUUUGUGACGGUAGUUGCCACGCGGGGACUGCGGUGGCGAGACUUGACGGUCCUGGUGCUCAUCACGACGACCAGGAGCAAGGGGUGGGCGCGGCGGAACGUUGAGGAGUGGGGGUCCCUUGUUGACCAACAACGCCGCAGUGUGCAUGGUGGAGGAUGAAGGAGCCGCCCGCGUCGCGGCGGCCGUGGCCUGUGUUCGCUUGACCGCAUCCAAUCCCUCGCCAAAAUCGGCCACCUGAGUGCUCAGUUGGUGGACCUCGGUCGAGAGCGACGAAAAUUUGGAGAGUAAUUCCUCCAGGGUCUUUUGUACUCCCUCCAUGGCUUGGAGCACGAACUUGGUCUGGACCGACGGAGUCGACGACGGCGCCGUCGCGGCCACCCCAAAUCAAGCCUACCCCACUCAGGAUUUUGCGUCAGAUCGCCGAAGCAACCCACCACCUUUCGCGGUGGAUUUUACGGCCGGAUUGAGAGAGAGAGGCGUGGCGGCAGAUCGUAACGAGCCUCUGAUACCAAGUUGUAAUGACCCUCGCGGAUCGAACAGAGAGGAAGAAGGGAUCGAGAGGGAGGAAGAACUUGAGGGAGAAGAAAGGGGAUGAGAGCUGGGGAAGAAGAUCGAGAAGGGUUCAGAAUAUUCGAUUUCAAUCGUCGCCUGGCCUCUGGCCGCACACCCGCUUAUAUCUCUCUCGGUGGCCUAGUGCCCCACAUGUCAUACACACACACCUACACAGAGACUAGUCUUCCCUCACUGGCUGUGGCCCCUUUUGUUCUCCUCAGGUCGUCGCACCAGCAGUGCCUCACUGUCCGCCUUCUCCACUGUUGUGGCAGCAGGGGAGGAGGGCGUGACAGCUGUUUAAUUCUUCCACUCCCAAGAUGAACUAUAAAUAUGGGCAUAUCAUACUUCUGCGAAAUAAGAGGGUUACAAUUAUGUUUUUUUAGCUUAAACUAUGUUUUUUAGGGAGCUUGCAUACUCACUUUUUUGUCGGAUAUGGGGACGCUAGGACGCGUCCGUCAUGUCGGUCUAAUGGGCUAGGCCCGCACCAAAACCCAUCGGUUCGACAGGCGCCUCCUUUGGUUUUGGUGAGGACGCAUUCAUGUCGCUGCUCCGGUGCCCGGCGCCAAAACCCAUUGAUCUGAUAGGCGCCUCCUCCGGUUUAGGUGAGGACGCAUUCAUGUCACCGCUCCGGCGCAGGGCCCGAGGGACUAAAUCAGGCUAUUAAACUGGACGACGAGGCAAAGCAAGCUUGUCCCUAUCCACCCAGUAUGUGUCGCCGUUGCCACUUCCUCUCCCUCUUCCACUUCCAAUCCGAGGUGACAUACUACAAGCUGCUGACACCGGAGCGCUGGACAGAGAUCCAGGCAAGAUGCGCACCUCAAGCAUUAUGAUCCGCCUUACUUCGGACAAGGAGGUGCCGGACGAGGAGAUGGAAGAGGCGAAGCAGGGGGAGGAAGAGCCGCCGUCGUACAAGGAGGAGGCAUCGAUGUCGGAACAAGUCGAAUUCGGCAUGGCAGACGUGUUGGUGGAGUUUGAGCUUAACCAAGCGGAGGAGGUGGCGGACAAUAGGCCAUUCUCGAGUUCAUCCAGUCUAAGGCGGAGAUGAUGACGAAGGGCGAACUGUCACUUCCUCCAUGGAGUCUGAGCAGCUUUUCACGGAUGAGGACGACAAAGAGUAGAGGUCAAUGUUUCGCCCGGCCUCCAAUGACCACAAGGCCGGUGCCUCCGGUAAGGAGGUCGUCAACAUUUUCGAUGACAAGUAGUUUAGUUUGCUACUUUGUUUAUGUACUUAGAACAAAUAGAUGUUGCACAUUGUAUGAAAAUGGGGAUAUGAAAAUGAGGAGUGUGGUUGCAAUGUGUGAAAAGUGAACGGUGACUGACACUAUCGUCUGACAUGUGGAGUCUCACUUUUGAUAGGUCCGGUUGUAGAUGCUUUGACUAUGUUUGGGACAUUUCAAUAUGUCUGUAUGCCACAUAAAUGAUCACCAAUACAUCAAAUGAAUCUACUGACAUGCAAAUAAAAAUCUUGACCAUCCGAGAAUAUUUCACCUUACUUGAACAGGAUCUGUUCUAUAAAAUUGUAAUGUUACAUCCUUUAUCAAUAAAUAUAAGUAUUUGAGAUGGAACCGAGAAAUUCUCGUGACUACAAGGAUUAGCUCCGUGCUCCUGCCACCCUGACACACUGCUACAAUCGAGGGAGAGGAACCUCAUUCCCUCCCUGCCCAAACAAACGACACCAACUUUGGUGAUACGCAUCUUCAACACCGACCCCCAAACCACCUGCACAUGUUUGAACCGUGUUGUCCGGACCAGGAAGUCAUUCAACGCGGGCCUGUAUCGGUCCGCAAGACGGUCCAGAUACACUUUUUCCCGUAAAUUGAAGACAAAGUGGGGGAGCUUUGUGGGAGUCCGGACAACAGACACGUAGGAUUCCGACACCACCGGCCCACCCAAUCCCCCUCCCGGUCCCAUUUUCUUUCACUCAACCCCUUCUUCCCCUUGCUUUUCAUCCGUACCAUCCACCUCGUCCGUCGCUGUUGUAUGCCUCGGGCUGCCACAGAGACAUUGCCGGACGUUCGCAACUAGCACCGACGUGCCCGCUCACCUCUACGACGGCGCUACACCCUGGAGCCGUUUGUACCUAGGUACACUCCGCCCCCUGUCGACGACCUCCAUUGUGGAUAGUGUUGGAAAUAUGCCCUAGAGGCAAUAAUACUGUAUUAUUAUAUUUUUAUUAUUUAUAAUUAAGAGUUUAUAUUUCAUGCUAUAACUGCUAUGAUCCUGAAAUAUGUGAUUCAGUGGAAAACUCAUAUGCAUGUGUGAAAUGACAAACGGUAAACAAUAGGUUCCUAGUCUCGCCUCUAAGACUGGGUCAAGUGUUGUUGGUGACCACGUUUUCUGGAUCUUAGAAUAUCGUUGAGUGUAAUGAUAGUCCUAAAACAACAUUGAGGGUAUGACGUUACAAGAACAAUCAUAUUGAAUCGACCCAAACUUGUGUUGGGGAACGCAGUAAUUUCAAAAAAAAUUCCUACGCACACACAAGAUCUAUCAUGGUGAUGCAUAGCAAUGAGAGGGGAAGAGUGUUGUCCACGCACCCUCAUAGACCGUAAGCGGAAGCGUUAUGACAACGCGGUUGAUGUAGUCGUACGUCUUCACGAUCCGAGUACCGAAAGUACGGCACCUCCGUGAUCUGCACACGUUCGGCUCGGUGACGUCCCACGAACUCUCGAUCCAGCCGAGUCUCGAGGGAGAGUUUCGUCAGCACGAGGCGUGAUGACGGUGAUGAUGAAGCUACCGUCGCAGGGCUUCGCCUAAGCACUACGAUGAUACGACCGAGGUGGAUUAUGGUGGAGGGGGCACCGCACACGCCUAAGGGAUCAAUGAUCAACUUGUGUGUUCUAGGGUGGCCCCUGUCCCGUAUAUAAAGAAGCAAGGGGGGAGGCCGGCCGGCCCUUGGGGCGCGCCAAGGAGGGGAGGAGUCCUCCUCCUAGUAGGAGUAGGACUCCCCCUUUCCUAGUCCAACUAGGAAGAGGAAGGGGGAAGGAAGGAGAGGAGAAGGGAGAAGGAAAGGGGGGCGCCGCCCCCCUAUUCCCUAGUCCAAUCCGGACUAGAGGGGGAGGGGUGCACGGCCCUGCCUUGGCUGACCCUCUUUCUCUCCACUAAGGCCCAUGUUGGCCCAUUAGAUCCCCCGGGGGUUCCGAUAACCCCCCGGCACUCCGAUAAUUAUCCGAUGAUCCCCGGAAGUCAUCCGGUGUCCGAAUAUAGUCAUCCAAUAUAUCAAACUUUAUGUCUUGACUAUUUCGAGACUCCUCGUCAUGUCCGUGAUCAUAUCCGGGACUCUGAACUACCUUUGGUACAUCAAAACACAUAAACUCAUAAUACCGAUCGUCACCAAACGUUAAGCGUGCGGACCCUAUGGGUUCGAGAACUAUGUAGACAUGACCGAGACACGUUUCCGGUCAAUAACCAAUAGUGGAACUUGGAUGUUCAUAUUGGCUCGCACAUAUUCUACGAAGAUAUUUAUCGAUCAACCGCAUAAAGAUAUACGUUGUUCCCUUUGUCAUCGGUAUGUUACUUGCCCGAGAUUCGAUCGUCGGUAUCUCAAUACCUAGUUCAAUCUCGUUACCGGCAAGUCUCUUUACUCGUUCCGUAAUGCAUCAUCCUGUAACUAACUCAUUAGUCACAUUGCUUGCAAGGCUUAUAGUGAUGUGCAUUACCGAGAGGGCCCAGAGAUACCUCUUCGAUACUCGGAGUGACAAAUCCUAAUCUCGAUCUAUGCCAACUAAACAAACACCAUCGAAGACACCUGUAGAGCAUCUUUAUAGUCACCCAGUUAUGUUGUGACGUUUGAUAGCACACUAAGUGUUCCUCCGGUAUUCGGGAGUUGCAAGAUCUAAUAGUCAUAGGAAAAUGUAUAAGUUAUGGAGAAAGCAAUAGCAACAAACUAAACGAUCAUCGUGUUAAGCUAACGGAUGGGUCAAGUCAAUCACAUCAUUCUCCAAUGAUGUGAUCCCGUUAAUCAAAUGAAAACUCAUGUCUAUGGUCAGGAAAUAUAACCAUCAUUAAUUCAACGAGCUAGUCAAGUAGAGGCAUACUAGUGACACUCUGUUUGUCUAUGUAUUCACACAUGUACUGAGUUUCCGGUUAAUAUAAUUUUAGUAUGAAUAAUAAACAUUUAUCAUGAUGUAAGGAAAUAUAAAUAACAACUUUAUUAUUGCCUUUAGGGCAUAUUUCCUUCAGUCUCCCACUUGCACUAGAGUCAAUAAUCUAGAUUACAUUGUAAUGAUUCUAACACCCAUGGAGUCUUGGUGCUGAUCAUGUUUUGCUCAUGAGAGAGGCUUAGUCAAUGGGUCUGCAACAUUCAGAUCCGUAUGUAUCUUGCAAAUCUCUAUGUCUUCCUCCUUGACUUGAUCGCGGAUGGAAUUGAAGCGUCUCUUGAUGUGCUUGGUUCUCUUGUGAAAUCUGGAUUCCUUUGCCAAGGCAAUUGCACCAGUAUUGUCACAAAAGAUUUUCAUUGGACCCGAUGCACUAGGUAUUACAUCUAGAUCAGAUAUGAAAUACUUCAUCCAGACUCCUUCAUUUGCUGCUUCUGAAGCAGCUAUGUACUCUGCUUCAC
This 9692-nucleotide long non-coding RNA is filed under the name Triticum aestivum (bread wheat). RNAcentral describes it as "long non-coding RNA (TAES_LNC009792)". The record is from RNAcentral. Lineage: Eukaryota; Viridiplantae; Streptophyta; Magnoliopsida; Poales; Poaceae.